GUACAGUGAGUGGAAGUCACAGGUAAGGAACAGUGAGGAAAAUAACCUGUAGGUUUCACAGGAAUGAUCUACCAAGAACCACUGCAUGUACCACUGUGGUAGAAGUUAAGGAGUCUUCAUAGGAUGCUGGAUGAAGGCUGGAUACUUCUAUAUCAGCAGAAUGCUUUGUUUUAUGGCCUCUUGAUGCUGGUAAGUGACUUUGAGAGCCCCUGCAGUAGUUUGGACAUGGUUGAAAAGUAAACAGAUGCAGCUGUCCAAAACAGAAGAAAAGAGAUUCUCCUCUGACAAUUGUUAGAUGUCAUCUCUUGGAUGUCUUCAUCCCUGGAAAAAGUAAUAGUCUAUAAGAAACUACUCGAUCUCAGCUCAUCUAAUCAGAUAGAAGCCAAACUACACUGAGGAGCCAUUCUCUCACCUCAUCAAUCUUGCACAAGAAUGAUUUAAUUGUCUCCUCAAUGUAUGUCAUUCAUGGGAAAAAUUCUGUGUUCAAUAACAUCAGCUGCAGAAGCUGGGAGUCCUAUUAAAGUUAUAUUAGACACA
This 537-nucleotide long non-coding RNA is filed under the name Mus musculus (house mouse). Its description in RNAcentral is "predicted gene, 19272, transcript variant 2 (Gm19272)". The record is from RNAcentral. Lineage: Eukaryota; Metazoa; Chordata; Mammalia; Rodentia; Muridae.